This 129-nucleotide ribosomal RNA is filed under the name Actinomycetota bacterium. RNAcentral's name for it is "Actinobacteria bacterium partial 23S ribosomal RNA". It matches the Rfam family "Bacterial large subunit ribosomal RNA", at positions 2802 to 2925 of the family's 2925-position model. Lineage: Bacteria; Bacillati; Actinomycetota. The record is from RNAcentral.
AGAUGAGAAUUCCAUGGCUUCGGCCGAGAGACUCGCAGCUAGAUUACUGCGUUGAUAGGCUGGAUGUGGAAGUGGGGACUAAAGACCCAUGGAGCUGACCAGUACUAAUAAGUCGAUUACUUGAUAACA